UGGGGAAUAUUGGACAAUGGGCGAAAGCCUGAUCCAGCCAUGCCGCGUGUGUGAAGAAGGCCUUUUGGUUGUAAAGCACUUUAAGCGAGGAGGAGGCUACUUGGAUUAAUACUCUAGGAUAGUGGACGUUACUCGCAGAAUAAGCACCGGCUAACUCUGUG
RNAcentral lists this ribosomal RNA (161 nucleotides) under uncultured bacterium. Its description in RNAcentral is "partial 16S ribosomal RNA". It matches the Rfam family "Bacterial small subunit ribosomal RNA", at positions 355 to 507 of the family's 1533-position model. The record is from RNAcentral.